This 237-nucleotide long non-coding RNA is filed under the name Gossypium barbadense (sea-island cotton). RNAcentral's name for it is "long non-coding RNA (GBAR_LNC002739)". The record is from RNAcentral. Lineage: Eukaryota; Viridiplantae; Streptophyta; Magnoliopsida; Malvales; Malvaceae.
AAAUGACUUCGGGGUCCCCUAUUCUGUUUUUAGAAAAUCAUUAUAAUUUGUAAAAAAAUGGUUAUAAGAUAAAAUUUAUAUGCUUAGACUCCUUAAUGAGUAUAGUUUCAAAUGAAAUCAAAUAGAACAUAUUUUGAAUUCUAUACAAUGAGAAAUUUGAUUCGUAGUGAAGAGUGGUCAGAUUAGUCAAACAGUGAAACAGGGGAAACUUUAAGAAAAAUCUGGUAUUGAUUGGCC